UGAGUUAGCGGCGGACGGGUGAGUAACACGUGGGUAACCUGCCCAUAAGACUGGGAUAACUCCGGGAAACCGGGGCUAAUACCGGAUAACAUUUUGAACCGCAUGGUUCGAAAUUGAAAGGCGGCUUCGGCUGUCACUUAUGGAUGGACCCGCGUCGCAUUAGCUAGUUGGUGAGGUAACGGCUCACCAAGGCAACGAUGCGUAGCCGACCUGAGAGGGUGAUCGGCCACACUGGGACUGAGACACGGCCCAGACUCCUACGGGAGGCAGCAGUAGGGAAUCUUCCGCAAUGGACGAAAGUCUGACGGAGCAACGCCGCGUGAGUGAUGAAGGCUUUCGGGUCGUAAAACUCUGUUGUUAGGGAAGAACAAGUGCUAGUUGAAUAAGCUGGCACCUUGACGGUACCUAACCAGAAAGCCACGGCUAACUACGUGCCAGCAGCCGCGGUAAUACGUAGGUGGCAAGCGUUAUCCGGAAUUAUUGGGCGUAAAGCGCGCGCAGGUGGUUUCUUAAGUCUGAUGU
This 522-nucleotide ribosomal RNA is filed under the name Bacillus thuringiensis. RNAcentral's name for it is "bacterial SSU rRNA". It matches the Rfam family "Bacterial small subunit ribosomal RNA", at positions 88 to 595 of the family's 1533-position model. Lineage: Bacteria; Bacillati; Bacillota; Bacilli; Caryophanales; Bacillaceae. The record is from RNAcentral.